GUGAGCAAGAUGGAGAAGCAGGGCACGUGCAUUACUAACUCAUGCACACAGAGUGAGAGAGACAUUUCUUGCUGGAGUUAUGACUCUUACCUACUAUAGAUUGUGUUGGCUUCAGCGAGUUAGUUCUUCAUGUGCCUGUCUUCCCCAUCAUGAUC
This 155-nucleotide microRNA precursor is filed under the name Populus trichocarpa (black cottonwood). Its description in RNAcentral is "miR164e stem-loop (ptc-MIR164e)". Its record names the gene ptc-MIR164e. It matches the Rfam family "MIR164 microRNA precursor family". Lineage: Eukaryota; Viridiplantae; Streptophyta; Magnoliopsida; Malpighiales; Salicaceae. The record is from miRBase by way of RNAcentral.